This 924-nucleotide unclassified non-coding RNA is filed under the name Leishmania donovani. RNAcentral's name for it is "gene:LdHU3.31.4210(CDS-product:phosphatidylethano laminen-methyltransferase-lik_e_protein)". The record is from RNAcentral. Lineage: Eukaryota; Euglenozoa; Kinetoplastea; Trypanosomatida; Trypanosomatidae.
CUCAUCGACACCUCCAUUACCAGCCGCGUGACCGCUUCUCAAAACGCGCAUCGACGAGAAGCCAUCGUCUUUGGCCUUUGCCUUCCGCCCCCCCCCCCACAUCCCCUUUUUAACGCGCUCCUCAAUCAAAGAAUUACGCAGCUGCCCACGAUGCCGGCAGCGAGUCGCAUCCACUACCGCUCCAUCGGCACAGCGGCUGUUGCGAUUGCGGGGUUGCCGACAGUGUGGAACAUGGUUGCCCGUAAUGAGUACCGCCGUCACACGAUCGAGAAGGCGGCGGGUGGCAAGAGGUUGGGCGCCUACGCCUUGGCGGCCGCCAUCGUUGCCGCCAGCGGUGCGCGCGACUACGCGUUUCGCAACGCUAUGGCGCAGAACCCGUGCCCGCUCCUCCCUAUCCUCUGCACGCAAGCCCUUGGUCCUGAAAACGCAGGUGUCGUGCGCGGCGUCAUGAGGGGCGUCGGCGCUGCACUGAUGGCGACAGGCACGACGCUUGUCGUAUCGUCGUUCCUCCGACUCGGCAUCACGGGUACGUAUCUCGGCGACUACUUUGGCAUCUUGAUGGACGAGCGCGUAACGGCCUUUCCCUUUAGCCACUUCGACAACCCCAUGUACCUCGGCGCCACGCUAAACUUCCUGGCCGCCUCCAUUGCCCAAAACAACGCCGUCGGGACACUGCUGACAGGCUUGGUGGGGCUGGUGUAUCAUGUAUCGGCCAAAUACUUUGAGAACCCCUUCACUGAAAUGAUCUACCGAAAGCGCGCGGAGGAACGGGCAGCCGCUGGCGUAUCUGCCUCGGUGAGGAAGCAGUAAGCAAGCACGGUUUAUCGUGGACUCCUGGAAUUACCUUUUUUUUUUUUGGUUGCUCGAGUGCGCCGAGCGCCGUGCGUGUACCGUCUGUCAUCCGUAUCACAUGUCGACCCAGUG